UACGUAGGGUGCAAGCGUUAUCCGGAAUUAUUGGGCGUAAAGAGCUCGUAGGCGGUUUGUCGCGUCUGCCGUGAAAGUCCGGGGCUCAACUCCGGAUCUGCGGUGGGUACGGGCAGACUAGAGUGCGGUAGGGGAGACUGGAAUUCCUGGUGUAGCGGUGAAAUGCGCAGAUAUCAGGAGGAACACCGGUGGCGAAGGCGGGUCUCUGGGCCGUAACUGACGCUGAGGAGCGAAAGCAUGGGGAGCGAACAGG
This 253-nucleotide ribosomal RNA is filed under the name uncultured bacterium. RNAcentral's name for it is "partial 16S ribosomal RNA". It matches the Rfam family "Bacterial small subunit ribosomal RNA", at positions 524 to 776 of the family's 1533-position model. The record is from RNAcentral.